UACGUAGGGUGCAAGCGUUAAUCGGAAUUACUGGGCGUAAAGCGUGCGCAGGCGGUUGUGCAAGACCGAUGUGAAAUCCCCGGGCUUAACCUGGGAAUGGCAUUGGUGACUGCACGGCUAGAGUGUGUCAGAGGGGGGUAGAAUUCCACGUGUAGCAGUGAAAUGCGUAGAGAUGUGGAGGAAUACCGAUGGCGAAGGCAGCCCCCUGGGAUAACACUGACGCUAAUGCACGAAAGCGUGGGGAGCAAACAGG
Molecule: ribosomal RNA, 253 nt
Filed under: uncultured bacterium
Lineage: Bacteria
Description: partial 16S ribosomal RNA
Rfam family: Bacterial small subunit ribosomal RNA
Source: RNAcentral